CUUAAGCCACUUGCUUACCAAGUCAAUGUAUCUCAAUUUGAGAAUUUUUAGAUAUUUAUAUUAGAAAACAAGACAAAAAAACCUAGGUAAUUCAAUAAUUGUUUGCAGUGUGAGGGAGAAGAACCAAGCCCUGAGGGAACGUAGUGAACAAGCAGCUUCGGAUGACAGCGGCUCACUUUUGGCGUUGCUUGACAACACUUUGAGGCAGGAUAAAAAGCUCCAGGAACAAUUUCUUUAGAGUAUCUUCUCUAAUCACCUUUCCAUUAAUACAACCUGGACUGGUGUAGGGAAUCAAGCAUGUUUUAGAGACCUGUUUCUGAAGACCAUUGUUCAAAGAGCCAUCCGGAAGAACCCUGCAACCCAGGAUGCCACUGAUUGGGCUGUCCAGGUUAAUGUUACGUGUUACCUGAAAGGAGCAUCUGACCGUAAAGGCGGAAAAAGGCAGUACACAGCUGAGAGGGACCCACGGAUGACCCCUUAAACCGAGGCUGACUACUGACACCCCAGCAUCGCUGACAACUGGAAACCUUUCUUUAUCCUGCAGUCAGUAACAUCAAGAACCCUAAAGAAUCCUGAAGUGUCACACUACACUCAACCAAUCCACACUUCACUUUGAAAAUUACUAUUCUUUUAUUUUUCAAAUUCCAUGUGACCCUGCCUUAAGGGCAGCUCCUCGUAUAGAUAUGGAAUGGCGAGGAUGUUUGUCCUUUAUACAGGUGCACGAGAUAAAGUACUGAUUGUAAGUGCCUCAUGCUUAUACAUUACAUUCAUGUGGAUCUUUUUUUUUAAUAUCUUUAGUGUCUUUUACUGGGUUUUUUUAGUCAUGUGGAUUUGUUCUUUUUAUCAUUCUGUUUAUGUUGGUGUGUGGUGUUAUAAGCUACUGGAACCUUGAAUUUCCCCUUGAGGGUCAAUCAAGUAUUUGUUCAUUUUUAAUUCACAAUAGACAGAUCUUAUUGCAGCAAAGUGAAAAUAUUGUGUUCCAGGUCAGCAGUGCCAUUAUAAUAGUCUAUUCUAGUCCAGAGCUUUACUCUAGGAUAAGUGGUAAUAAUUUAUUGUUAGAAAUGACGAUUUAUUUGGUAUGCUGCACGUUCUUUGGUACCAAAUAUCCUCAUUACUUAAUUUUAUGUUUACUGGUAGCCAAAUUCUUUUCAUCCCAGAGCUGACCUCUAAAUUAUUAACAAUUGUUGUAAAUGAUAUGUUCUAAUUUGCUUGUAAUGUUUUUUUAAACUAGAAUUUAUUUGGAAACCUGCAUGUAUUUAGUACUUUUUUAUUUUUCAGUUAUUUAUAUUUCAGUGCUCUUACACAUCUUGGUUCAAUGACUGUUACUGUACUUUGAAAUGUGGAAUAAAAAAUCCAAAUGAGAA
Paramisgurnus dabryanus is the source of this 1364-nucleotide long non-coding RNA. RefSeq lists it as uncharacterized. The record is from RefSeq and is a predicted model, not a curated record. Lineage: Eukaryota; Metazoa; Chordata; Actinopteri; Cypriniformes; Cobitidae.